Long non-coding RNA from Manduca sexta (tobacco hornworm), 1003 nucleotides. RefSeq lists it as uncharacterized. The transcript is spliced from 2 exons. The record is from RefSeq and is a predicted model, not a curated record. Lineage: Eukaryota; Metazoa; Arthropoda; Insecta; Lepidoptera; Sphingidae.
CACACCAAUUAAAAGGAUCCCUGAACUAUAUGCCAUCCAAAAAUAAAAAGAAAGAACAAGAUAUUUGGCCAGAAAAGCUAAUAAUAAGAUUUGCAGUAUUAAGGAAAUGACUCCCAGAGCACAAAAGUCAGAGAAAAUACAGAAAAUUAUUUAAAAAGGAAAUUAGAAAAGAAAAGUAUUGAGAUGGUACUGGUAGAAAACUCCGCUUCUAGUAUGGCUGAUUCUAUUAUACAGAGAGCAGACCCGUUAAAAAUAAUAGAAGUAACUAAGCAAUUAACUAACUCCAAGCAGUCGUAAAGUUCCCCAACAGUCGUGAGCCACAAAUGUAAUAAGACGAAUGCGUUACAACCAUCUUAAGAUCGAUAAGUAACCCUUAUCAGCAGUGUUGAUCGCCAGCUCUCACGAUGGGUAGAACAAUAUUUGAACUCAUUUUCUCGAUCCGUGGAUAUUCAACUAGAAGCAAUAGACUCCAUACCGAUAUUGGCUACCUUAAACGAACUCGAUGAACCACCUACACACGAAUACAAGAAUUUCAAAAUGCUAUUAAACUGCUCAAAAGAGCCCUGGAAACGAUGGAAUUCCUGCAGAACUCCUAAAAGUGCAGUGCACUCAACCUAUCAUUUACAAGUUGAGAGUAAAGUAUCGGAAGAAAGUAUACGUGCCACACUGUAACAAUUACCGCGGUGUAUCCUUGUUAAGCAUCGUUGGUAAACUUUUUGCUCGUAUAAUAUUAGUAAAGAUGUGCCCAAAUAUCCACUAUUGAUAUAAUCUUCACAAUCAGUUUCGUUGAUCUCAAUAAAGCCUUCGACACCGUGAGCAGAGAAGGUCUGUAUGCUGUAGAGAAAGUAGGACGCCUGCCUAAGAUUCUGUACUUGAUCAAAAAUUUACACCAAGACAUGAAAGAUGAUGCAGCUCUUGUCGCUACCUCACAAGAAGAGCUCCAGAACAUCAUGGACAAGUUUGCUAAGGCAUGUGUACUGCUUUCAAUGUCUAUCAACGCAAA